GACGAACGCUGGCGGCGUGCUUAACACAUGCAAGUCGAACGGAAAGGCCCCUUUGGGGGUACUCGAGUGGCGAACGGGUGAGUAACACGUGAGUAACCUGCCCUUGACUUCGGGAUAACUUCAGGAAACUGGGGCUAAUACCGGAUAGGAAUCCUUGCUGCAUGGUGGGGGUUGGAAAGCUUCGGCGGUUUUGGAUGGACUCGCGGCUUAUCAGCUUGUUGGUGGGGUAGUGGCUUACCAAGGCUUUGACGGGUAGCCGGCCUGAGAGGGCGACCGGCCACAUUGGGACUGAGAUACGGCCAAGACUCCUACGGGGGGCAGAAGGGGGGAAUAUUGCCAAAGGGGGGGAAGCCUGAGGCAGAAACGCCGGGGGCGGGAUGACGGCCUUCGGUUUUAAAACCGCUUUCAGCGGGGGCGAAGUUUGUGGUGACGGUACCUGAAGAAGAAGCACCGCCUAACUACGU
Molecule: ribosomal RNA, 464 nt
Filed under: uncultured bacterium
Lineage: Bacteria
Description: partial 16S ribosomal RNA
Rfam family: Bacterial small subunit ribosomal RNA
Source: RNAcentral